Molecule: long non-coding RNA, 624 nt
Organism: Octodon degus (degu)
Lineage: Eukaryota; Metazoa; Chordata; Mammalia; Rodentia; Octodontidae
Exons: 4
Source: RefSeq, a predicted model, not a curated record
UGGGUGUGCAGAAUAUCUUGCUGCGCCCGAGGUAUCCGCGAGGGGGAAGAGCUCGUGCGGCAGCAGUUGGCCGUCUAACCGCUGCUAGAAGAGCAGCCAAGCGGGACCCAGAGGUGAGGGCCGAGCUGGCGCCUCCCCGAGGCCGACCCGGCCUGGCUGUGUGGCUCUCGCCGCUGCCCGCUGAGGAGCUGGUGCCAUGGGCCGAGGUGAAGCUUCAGGGAAGCGGGCCUGAGAGUAGUGCGCCGUGGAGGCGACUGGGCCUCAGGUCAGCGCGGCAGAGAAUGGCGCGGUGGAGCAACCCUCCUUAGCGACCCCAAGAAUUUUCUACGGGACACUGGCGAGGAAGAAAGGUCCAGUGCCUUCCCUGGCCAGGCCAUGGGCAAAUGGGGAGCUGCCAUCGGGUCUCUGGAAAUGUUCCACAGUCUCAUGGCUCAAGGCCUUCGCUUCAGACUAUACUACCAGAAGAUUGGGGAUCCAGCUGAUGCCUGCAGAAGAAAAAGCCAGAAAUUAGCAACCCAAACAUCAGCACCACCUCAGACAGAACCUGGCACUGAAGUGUCCACUUAGUGAGGACACUCAGUGUACAGUUGCGGGGUCUUGCUACACAACUUGGACUCCUAGUAA